CACUCCGUCCCUGGGCCAACCGGGUGGUGGUGUCAGCGCCGGUGUCUUCCUCUCCGUCCCUGGGCUUGGGUUUCCAUGGCGGUGGCGAGGGUAACGCCGACCUCAGCCCUAUUACUCGGAGGUCCAACCAGAUAGCCUUUUGUACUUCUACAGUGCUGCGAGAGCAAGGAGAGUAGGAGCCCAAAGCCCCAAACGCUCUUUGUUUCGCUCUGCGUGCAUGCACGCGUGUUCGAUGCAUUAGGACGGACUUUGAAGAGGCUAGAGCAACAGUUACCGUGUAGGUGAGCUGAAUGAAAUUGGCCAGGAGAGGAAACAAUCGGUCUAUAAAAAAGUUUAUAGCUAAUUUAGAUAAGAUCAUACUUUCUUAUGAUUGAAUAAUUCUCUGUCUGUGUUCUAACUGCGUCCUUUCUCAGUGUUAUACUGUCCCAAUUUACAGAACAACAGAUGAACCGUAAUGAGUCAUUCCGAAGAUAGUUGAAGUCCAGUGUUAUUACCGCAAUUAAUAUCUACCUCUCCACAUUAUGCCCCUUAUCUUACUCCAUCAGUACGAAUGGCUGAUAUUAAUGUGUCUCAUUUUCAGUUAAUCUAGCUGUUGUAUCUAACUUAGAUAUCAGGCUGCUGAAAUUGCUUAAAGACCAUUAAUAUCUCUGAUAUGUAAGUGCCUGUGAAUUGCCCUAUAUGCUUAAUUACUUCAGUAUGAUAAAUGACUCAUUUUUGUGACAAUGCUUUUCGAUGAUGUAUGGAAGCAUGGACUGUUAUUUCCUUUCCAUUCUGAAGAUGCAAGGUCAAUUCCCUCACUCCAUCAAGCAAAUGUGUUUACUUAUGAGAUUGAGAUGCGAGCUUAAGUUGCUCACAGUAUUCAAAUAAAAUCACCUACUUAUUUUGCUCCUGAAGUAAACCAUGGGCGAUUCUCUUCAUUAGUUCAAACAAACACAUCUACUCAUGUACCCUUUUCUGGUGGAGCUAGAGAACAACAAGUUCACUUUACUCCUCAACCAAACCAAGUAAGAAACCACUUCAUUUUCUCACUUCUGAGAGUUCUUUGCCAAAGAAAGUACGUGAAUCUAUGAAUUAAUCAUGAUAUUUGAUAUUUGAUAGUUGAAUCUGUUUGUAUUGAUCUUGAGCAUUAUGAUAUUCUGAACUGAGAUAGUUCAUUACUUGUCCUAGCACUUUCCAUCGCUGCAUUAUAUUUUAUCCGCCAGCUUAUAUCUUUCACUGCCCUUUCUCUUGGGUAAGUAUGUUUACCUCUUGUAAGUUGUAACUGGUUAGUUGAGUUUUACAACGUUAUGUCUGUUCUAAUGGCAAUUUCUCUAUCUGGACAACCACUGCCUGGACAAGCAGUAAUGGUUAAGCCAUCUGAGGCUGAAAAGAACUUAGCUCAGGCAAAUGUGACAUCAGGUGGUGCCGCUUCAGGUGGAGCAAGAAAGUUGUAUGUUGGCAAUCUUCACUCAAAUAUUACCGAAGACCAAUUGAGAUAGAUGUGGGUCCGACCCAUGCUCCAAUGUCGUUGCCUCCUAUGAGCUCUUGGUCCCAUGAGCUGCAUGUGGGCCAUCCUCGUCGUAUCAGCACUAUGCCCCUGCUGGCCGGCUGCGUAGCGAACACACAGAGGAACGCUAAAUGUAGCACGUGUAGACAGCGUCCGGUAUUUUACCGAAGGCUUUACCGUCUGUUGCUGGACCAGCAAUAGAGCUCGGCGUCCUGUAAAUUUGGCGGACAGGACCACAUACAGGUCCUUGUUGGACACAGUCUUAGUCCUGUGAGUUCCAGGUUUUCGCUUGUGGUACCUAUGAACAUGAAACCUGUUUACUUUGAGGAAUGUACUUUAUUUCCAUCUUAAGUUAGUCUAUUCAAACGGAAUAUGGAUAUAUUAACCGAAAUUUUCUGCAGU
RNAcentral lists this long non-coding RNA (1888 nucleotides) under Zea mays. Its description in RNAcentral is "uncharacterized LOC100272260, transcript variant 2 (LOC100272260)". Lineage: Eukaryota; Viridiplantae; Streptophyta; Magnoliopsida; Poales; Poaceae. The record is from RNAcentral.